Molecule: microRNA precursor, 87 nt
Organism: Rhinopithecus bieti (black snub-nosed monkey)
Lineage: Eukaryota; Metazoa; Chordata; Mammalia; Primates; Cercopithecidae
Source: Ensembl
AUUAAGAUUGGUACAAAAGUGAUUGUGGUUUUUGCCAUUGAAAGUAAUGACAAAAACUGCAAUCACUUUUGCACCAACCUAAUAAAA